This 253-nucleotide ribosomal RNA is filed under the name uncultured bacterium. RNAcentral describes it as "partial 16S ribosomal RNA". It matches the Rfam family "Bacterial small subunit ribosomal RNA", at positions 524 to 776 of the family's 1533-position model. The record is from RNAcentral.
UACGUAGGGGGCUAGCGUUGUCCGGAAUCAUUGGGCGUAAAGAGCGUGUAGGCGGCCCGGUAAGUCAGCUGUGAAAGUCGGGGGCUCAACCCUCGAAUGCCGGUGGAUACUGUCGGGCUAGAGUGCGGAAGAGGCGAGUGGAAUUCCUGGUGUAGCGGUGAAAUGCGCAGAUAUCAGGAGGAACACCAAUUGCGAAGGCAGCUCGCUGGGACGUAACUGACGCUGAGACGCGAAAGCGUGGGGAGCGAACAGG